UUGGUUCACAACCGAAUGUGAUUAAAAUGGGAAUCAGGUGCGAAUCCUGAACAGUCCCGCUGCUGUAAGCAGCUUUGUAGAAGUGAACACAUGUCACUGAUAUUAUUGGGAAGACGUUCACUUGUUAGCUGUAAGUCAGAAGACCUGCCAUUGCUGA
RNAcentral lists this non-coding RNA (157 nucleotides) under uncultured Prevotella sp. Lineage: Bacteria; Pseudomonadati; Bacteroidota; Bacteroidia; Bacteroidales; Prevotellaceae. The record is from RNAcentral.